GGAAAGAGAGCAUUCAAUCUGGCAUAUUAUAUAAACUGGUUAGGGCAAUUUCAAAUUAUCUACACUUGGAUUCCCUGGCCUUUGUGGAAGAACAUCAUGAAACAAUCUUUUCUAUUUUUAAUCUUUUCAACUAUAAGGAGGUUGUCGUGGUUAUUAUAUUACAUGAUAAAUGUUCUUUUUGUGGAGACUCUCGGGAUAAAUUAAUUUGUUCUAAGCAUCAGGGACAAUUAUGUUUCUCCUGAGAAAUUGAAAAAACAAAUCUUAUGACACUGAGAUGUGUCCUCAAAGUCUCACUGUCACACUGACCCUUAGAAAGCUUGAAAUUAAAAUUUCAACAUAUUCAUAGCACAUAUGUAAGACUUUAUGGUAUAUAUUUUUGUGUUAAGUUUACUUCUGGCUUUAUCAUAUGUUUCUAUGUCCCCUUCCCCCUAUUUACACUAGUAAUAGCAUUUGGUUUGGCUGGAAUGAAAACCCCCAAAUACCAUGAAUUCAAUAAGAUAGAAGCUAUGUUUCUUCUCAGGUAAAAUUCUGGGUUGGUAGUCCAAGUUUGGAAGGGCAGCUCCGUGGUCAUCAGGCACCCAGACUUUUUCUUCUUCUUUUUUUGGUGAGUCCAUUUAUUUAUUUGUUUGUUUAUUUCUUUUUAAUGAUUUUUAUUUUUUCCAUUAUAGUUGAUUUACAGUGUUCUGUCAAUUUUCUACUGUACAGCAAAGUGACCCAGUCACACUCACACGUAUAUAUACACUCUUUUUCUCACAUUAUCCUCCCUCAUGCUCCAUCACAAGUGACUAGAUAUAGUUCCCAGUGCUAUACAGAAGAUCUCAUUGCUUAUCCAUUCCAAAUGCAAUAGCUUGCAUCUAUCCAGUCCUCCCCUCCCCCUCGGCAAGGGCACCCAGACUUCUAAUGUGUUUAUUGCUCUGUGGUCCUCAACACACAGCUUCCAACCCCUGGGUCCAAGAUAGCUGCCCUCGCCAUCCUGUCUGCAGCCAGUCAGCAGGAGGGGGCACAACCAAUCCUGCCUUUUAAGGAUACUUUCUAGAAGUUGCAUAAACAACCUCCAUUUACAUCCCAUUGGCCAGACCUUAGUCAUAUGGGUACACCUGGCUAUAAGGACAGCUGGGAAAUGUGGGUAGCUGUGCAUUUUAGCUAAAAAUGAGAAAUCUUAAUAAGGUAGAGGAAGGAGAGAUGGGCUGUUAGGAAACAAGUAGAAGGCUGUGCUAAUUUAGAUAAUCGUAUGUAUCUUUGUGAAUGACUUCAAAUUCUGUUCAUGCUGGGACAGGGUGGUUAUAAUUAAUGAAGGAAUAAGCAAGUUUACAUUCCUUAGAAGGAGGAUGGAUCGUGUUCUUGUUUCUGUUUAGUAUGAGUCAGAAUGCCAGAACCAGUCUUUGAUGCCAGAGAGUUCUCCCACAGUUUCUGUAAUCCUAAUUUGGGAUACUCAGAUUGCUAAGGAUUGGCAAGGGCAGGACUGAUGAGCUUGAGCUGUUGUUUUUAAUCUCCGAAAGACUAAUGAGCAAUACAUAUUCACCUGAGCUGAGGUUUAUCUAAGUCUUUGAUAAUAAGGGGAAAUCAUUAUUAUUCAAUGUAAUUAUCUUUCGGUAUCUGUGGAGAUUGGUUCCAGGACACCAAAGCAUACCCAAAUCUGCAGAGGCUCAAGUUCCUUGUAUAAAGUGUCAGUAGGACUGUUGCCCCUAUAUCCAUGGUUUCUGCAUCAAUGGAUUCAACUGCCUUUGACCAAAUUGGUUGAAUCUGUGGAUGCUGAAUCCAAGGAUAUGGAGGAAUGACUGUACAUGCAGUUUCUUUGGUAGGCAAAUAUCUUUCAAAAAGUGUGGCUUGUGGGGAACCAUGGUAUUGUAAGGACACGCCAAAAAGUAUCCAGAGUGGUGAAAUAUUUUGGUGCCCCUGGCUGGAACUGUUGUUUUGUCAUGAGACUUUAAAUUUGUAUAGCUACACUAGAGCCAUAUUUUUCAAACUUGUAGGACAUUAGGGACAUUGUUAAAACUGCUGUUACCUGGACCCCACCCCCAGAGAGUCUGAUUUUUUUUAGCUAGGGGACAGCAUUUUGACAAAUACUGGACUAAAAGAUGUUGAUUGCCCGAAGUUAAAAAUUUAUAAAUGGAGUUAAUUAAACUUUCCUUUGGGGUGUGUUGGGGGAAACAAAUAUGAGCAAGUCUCUGAAAAACACAGAAUUUGCUGUAAAUACUUUAUUUUCCAGGUUUUAGAAGGGUCCAGCAUUUCUCCUGCUCAUGACAAUUUCUUUUGUGAAGCAUGAUCUUCAGAUCAACUGAGCACAAUUGAAUUCCAGCCUUAAUGUUAAUGAUUUGAUGAGGGCUUUUAGCACUCUCUUGAAGCUCUGGCCACCUGACAUCCCAGGCACCAAUGGGCAUAGAGAAAGCAUCCUUAGGUUCUUCCUCACCAUAGCAACCAGUACACACUGAUCCAUGUAUGUCAGCUUCCAAGCUGGCGAUUCUACAGGGUCAGCUGUGUCAUAGCAACAGGAGAAAGCCGUAGUUGACUCUGGCAUUUCAAACGCCCUGGAAAAAGGUUUCAAUCCCAGGCAUGACUUCUUCUCUGUAGUUUCCUGCUGUUUCGACUCUGGGAGUUAGGGGCUUGAGGGCAGCAGGGUGGGAGGGGGGAUCUGGGCUGUGAAUGAUAUUGGUGACUGAUGUGUGCAAAUUCCUGAACCAGCAGGAAAUAAAACAUGUGAAUUUUAGGAGAAGAGAGGGAAUCACAUUCAUAAAAACAGCUUGUGAUUUAGACCAGGAAGUGAGUUACAAGUUCUUCACUCAAUGUGAAAUAUCAAGACACAGGAAAAUCAAUCUUCCUUGCCUUUGAGUGUUUGUGGAUGUUGGAUUAAAAUUAAGAUGCUGGGGGGAGGGAGGAGGAAGUGAGAUGGGAAGUUUGGGGUUCGUAAAUGCAAACUAUUACAUCUAGAAUGGAUAAGCAAUGGAGUCCUACUGUACAACAGGGAACUAUGUCCAAUCUUUUGGGGUAGAACAUGAUGGAAGAUAGUAUGAGAAAAGGUGUAGGUUGCAGAUGCAGCUCUGAUCUGGCAUUGCUGUGGCUGUGGUGUAGGCCAGCAGCUACAGCUCCAAUUUGACCCCUAGCCCAGGAACCUCCAUAUGCUGUGGGUGUGACAACCCCCCCAAAAAGACCAAAAAAAAAAAAAAAUAGCUAAUGUCACUUUCUGCAUGUAGAGAAGUCUUUGGUUUGGAAUGCAAUGGAAAGGCCAAUUUUUGAAACAUCAUAAUCUGUGAACCAGCAUUUCUUUGCGCAAGAGUGAGGCAGGCAGUAAUUUCCUUCUCUUCAUCAUUAUUGCUGAAAUUUGUUGAAUUUUUCUAUGGUCCAAACAUCCCACAUUCAUUUAAUUCUUACAACUAAUUCUCUGGGGUAGAUAUUAUAACUGCCAUGUUAGAGAAUGUAGGGGAAGGAAAGGAUCCUUUUUCUUUGCCCUCUUGGGUUCUGUGGCUGGGGCCCGUGAAUUACACAAAUAAAAGACAGCUUAACAGGAGAAGAAACUUAUCUUGAAUAGAUAUGGGGGCUUCACAAGAAAAAAGUGAAAUCCCAAAGAAAGUGUUAGACCUGGGGGCUUAUAAACCAUUUUAACAAAGAAUGAUAAAUUGUGAAGUAAGUAGACAAGGUGAAUUAAACACCUAAAAGACAGAUUAACAGGAGAAGAGAUUUAAUCUUGAAUAGAUAUGUAGGCUUCACAAGAAAAAAGUGAAAUCCCAAAGAAAGUGUUAGACCCUGGGGCUUAUAUACCAUUUUAACAAAGGAUGAUAAAUUGUGAAGUAAGUAGACAAAGGAAGGAGGGUGAAUUGUGCGAAGUAAUUUAGCAAUAAAUUGUGCUUCCAGGGACAGUCAAUUGUGGGCAGGUAAAUAUAUGGGGGAAACUAGUAGAAGAGAAGAAUUUUUUAAGAUUUAUGAUACAAACUCAAUUGUUUUCUCCAUUGAUAAGAGUUGUCUCUAGUGAUUGAGUUGUCUUCAUCUUCCUGGUAUAGAAGAGGGAGACACUUUUACACAUGGAAAUUUAUGCCUUGCUUUUAGGCAGAAAGAAGGAGGGCAGAGAGCUAAUUGCUUUUAGCUUGAAAUAAUCUCUUAACCAAAGUGGCAUCUUUUAGGGUAGCAUACUUCAAUCCCCUUCAAAAUCAAACAAUCCUGACUGGAGAUAAAUAGAUCAAUGGAAUAGAAUAGAAAGUCUGUAUACACCCCAAUACACAGAACUUUAUUAAUGAUAAAAGUGACAUCUUCAGUAAAUGGGGAAAAUAGAAACUGCCAGUAUUCAAUAAGUGAAGUUGGAAUAACCAUUUGGGAAAAAAAAAAUGAAGUUAGAGCCAUUUACACCAUUUACCAGGACAAAAUCCAAAUGGAUCAAAGAUUUAAGUAUAAAAAGUGAAGCCAUAAAAAUUUUUAUAAGGAAAUUACUUUUUGACUUUGAAAUGAAGAUGGAUUUUUUUUAUGACACAAAAUCUAGAAGCCGUAAUUAAAGAGAUCAAUACAUUUAAACUUGGAGAGGAACAUUGUAUGCAUGGCAAAAAAGCACC
Molecule: long non-coding RNA, 4538 nt
Filed under: Sus scrofa (pig)
Lineage: Eukaryota; Metazoa; Chordata; Mammalia; Artiodactyla; Suidae
Description: lncRNA (ENSSSCG00000052561.1)
Source: RNAcentral